GGUUACUUUGUGUGUGUGGGGGGGAGGGGGGGCGAAGCAAGAUGGAAAAGUAGUAUUCAAUGUUAAAUUUCAUUAAAUCCUAAUAUUUUGAAGCCUUACCAUCUAAGAUCUAUGGAAGCAAUUUCAGUAAAAAUAAAAUUAACAUGGAAUCAUCCAAUUUACAAUUAAUUAAAUAUUAAAAUAAAAAGGAAAAUAAAUUAGAAUUUUCUAAAAUUGCCCCCGCAAUAAAAUGGACACCAUCAUGUGUGGCACGAAUUAUUUUUAUAGUAGCUGUCCUCUAUAUAGUAGCUCACUGUGUCCUCUCUAUAGUAGCUGUCCUCUCUAUAUUAGCUGUCAUCUCUAUAGUAGCUCACUGUGUCCUCUCUAUAGUAGCUGUCCUCUCUAUAGUAGCAGUCCUCUCUAUAGUAGCUCUAUAGUAGCUCUAUAGUAACACACUGGGUCCUCUCUAUAUUAGCUCACUGUGUCAUCUCUAUAGUAGCUGUCCUCUCUAUAGUAGCUGUCCUGUUUAUAGUAGCAGUCCUCUAUAUUAGCUGUCCUCUCUAUAGUAGCUCACUGUGUCCUCUCUAUAGUAGCUGUCCUCUCUAUAGUAGCUGUCCUCUCUAUAGUAGCUCACUGUGUCCUCUCUAUAGUAGCUGUCCUCUCUAUAGUAGCUGUCCUCUCUAUAGUAGCUCACUGUAUCCUCUCUAAAGUAGCUGUCCUCUCUAUAGAAGCUCACUGUGUCCUCUCUACUUUAGCUGUCCUCUCUAUAGUAGCUCACUGUGUCCUCUCUACUUUAGCUGUCCUCUCUAUAGUAGCUCACCGUGUUCUGUCUAUAGUAGCUGUCCUCUCUAUAGUAGCUCACUGUGUCCUCUCUACUUUAGCUGUCCUCUCUAUAGUAGCUCACUGUGUCCUCUCUAUAGUAGCUGUCCUCUCUAUAAUGCACUGUGUCCUCUCCCUCUAUAGAACUGCAAAAGUUAUCUAUGAGAAUUCCAUCUCUGAAACAACUUGAAUACGUGAGUCCAGCAAAAGAGUGAUUUGCUCCCGGGUGGUAUCGCUACAGUUGGAGGGGUUGAAAUGCCGUUGAAAAUCGUUUGUUUUCUGAACAAAUUUUUGCUCCGGUGUGGGUCUUUCUGUUAUUAAGUCUAGAUAACAACAACUCUAGAUAAUAAAUCUGAAACAAUGACCUCCUCACUAGCGGUUAAGUUCCUCGCUGCAGCUGUCAUCGUGAAGUAAACCAAGUAGCUAGUUUGUUGAUUGGAUUCCCUCACAGCGGGCAGAACUUUUCAUAAAACGAUAAUAAAGCCCACCCCUUGAGAGGCAAGAAGAUUGGUCAAUUUUACUGCCAGUAGAAAUAAUGGUGUGGUUGAGAGGCCUCGUACACCACCUUCACGAGUUGCUCUUGGAACGUUAUUUUCUGGCUUGUAGUAGCACUUAUAGCUAUACCGUUUGUCUUUGUGGGCAUCGUUACACAACAAUCGGUCAUUGGCCAGUCAUUGUUAUUGUGUCUCGUUGAAUUACUAUUACUCGACCUCUACCAAUCACAGAGUUGCAAAGCAUUUUCCUUCCCAACAACUGCAGUCAGCAGCCUUCUAAGAGGCUGACAAAGGGCUUAUUAAAUUGAACCUUACUAAUUGAAUCGGCCGUUUUGAAGGUUUAAUUCCUCAGAAACAUUUUUGUUUAGAUGUUGAUUGUAAAAUAAUUAAUGAUUAAAAUAAAUUAGAAUAUCUAGAAUAUCUUAGGCCCUUUGUAGAGGGCAAUGACAGUUCCCCUCUGAUAAAUAUAUAAAGAGGCACCAGCAGAUUAUUGACUCCAAGUGUGGACUCUGUAAAUAAUGUCCAAAGCAAACCUGAAGUCAGUCAUUAAUGUGCAUAUCACAGUAGAAAAAUAAAUAAGCACAUAAUAUAAUAAGCAAUUUAUACUGAAUGUAAGUUACUUAAUCUAUAUAAUUUAUAGGGUUAGAUCUUUAGAUUAUCAAUCAUUUAUAUUGUUAUCUAAUUAUAAAAUAAUAUUGUAAUCUAAGAAAUUACACCGUAGACACAAUUUAAUUAAUGUCUAUAGUAUAACCCCAUGAGCACAUUCAAAAGGUUUGGUUUCUUCAAUAAUAGAUGUUAUGUACAUAUGUAUAUAUACAGUAUUUCAUACACUGCCAAUUUUGCAGGUUUUCCCACUUACAAAGCAUGUAGAAAUCUGUCAUUUGUAUCAUAGGUACUCUUCAACUGUGAGUGGCGGAAUCUAAAACAAAAAUCCAGAAAAUCACAUUGUAUGAUUUUUAAGUAAUUCAUUUGUAUUUUAUUGCAUGAGAUAAGUAUUUGAUACAUCAGAAAAGCAGAACUUAAUAUUUGGUACAGAAACCGUUGUUUGCAAUUACAGUGAUCAUACGUUUCCUGUAGUUCUUGAUCAGGUUUGCACACACUGCAGCAGGGAUUUUGGCCCACUCCUCCAUACAGACCUUCUCCAGAUCCUUCAGGUUUCAGGGCUGUCGCUGGCCAAUACGGACUUUCAGCUCCCUCUAAAGAUUUUCUAUUGGGUUCAGGUCUGGAGACUGGCUAGGACCUUGAGAUGCUUCUUACGGAGCGACUCCUUAGUUGCCCUGGCUGUGUGUUUCGGGUCGUUGUCAUGCUGGAACACCCAGCCACGACCCGUCUUCAAUGCUCUUACUGAAGGAAGGAGGUUGUUGGCCAAGAUCUCGCAAUACAUGGCCCCAUCCAUCCUCCCCUUAAUAUGGUGCAGUCGUCCUGUCCCCUUUGCAGAAAAGCAUCCCCAAAGAAGGAUGUUCCCACCUCCAUGCUUCACGGUUGGGAUGGUGUUCUUGGGGUUGUACUCAUCCUUCUUCUUCCUCCAAACACGGUGAGUGGAGUUUAGACCAAAAAGCUAUAUUUUUGUCUCAGACCACAUGACCUUCUCCCAUUCCUCCUCUUGAUCAUCCAGAUGGUCAUUGGCAAACUUCAGACGAGCCUGGACAUGCGCUGGCUUGAGCAGGGGGACCUUGCGUUUCUGGGCUGAUCCCUCACCUUCCUCAUGAUCAUUGAUGCCCCAUGAGGUGAGAUCUUGCAUGGAGAUCUUGCACGGUCUCCCCAGACCGAGGGAGAUUGACCGUCAUCUUGAACUUCUUCCAUUUCUAAUAAUUGCGCCAACAGUUGUUGCCUUCUGACCAAGCUUCUUGCCUAUUGUCCUGUAGCCCAUCCCAGCCUUGUGCAGGUCUACAAUUCUAUGCCUGAUGUCCUUACACAGCUCUCUGGUCUUUGCCAGUGUGGAGAGGUUGGAGUAUGUUUGAUUGAGUGUGUGGACAGGUGUCUUUUAUACAUGUAACAAGUUCAAAAAGGUGCAGUUAAUACAGGUAAUGAGUGGAGAACAGGAGGGCUUCUUAAAGAAUAACUAACAGGUCUGUGAGAGCUGGAAUUCUUACUGGUUGGUAGGUGAUCAAAUACUUAUGUCAUGCAAUAAAAUGCAAAUUAAUUACAUAAAAAUCGUACAAUUUGAUUUUCUGGAUUUUUGUUUUAGAUUCCUUCUCUCACAGUUGAAUUGCACCUAUGAUAAAAAAUGAGAGACCUCUAAAUGCUUUGUAAGUGGGAAAACCUGCAAAAUCGGCAGUGUAUGAAAUACUUGUUCUCCCCACUGUAUAUCCAUAUAGAUACACAUACUGUAUACAACACGGUACCUGGCCAAUGCAGAUCCCAGGACGAACGCGGAGCGGUCCUGCAGCCUGAAGUCAGAGCUGUUGAGACCUCCUAGAAGGAGCUGUAGUCCCCCCAUGGAGCACAGCGUCUGGGCAUUAUCCACCUACACACAAACAACACACAUACACAUGCACACACACGUUUUUUUAGUAGAUCAUUGUCCAAAAUAAUAAAAAGAAAUGUUCUGCAACUGUAGCAACUAACAUCAGGGUUUAAGAGGAUGGCAACCAUAAUAUAUAAUAUAAUAAUAUAUGAAGCUGAAAUACUGCUUACCAUUUGGAGAUGGUGUUUUUAUGUUGCAGUGUACAAUGGGGCGCGAUGCAGUUAAGCUAAGUCAAUCUAUAAGAAUGUAACACUUUAAUUAAACAAUUAGUUUAGGUUUUAAAUUUGUUUCCACCUGAAUUAAAAUUGUAUAUGUGCUACCGCGUUGUCACCCAACCAAGGGUGGGCUACAACAGAGGUGGUAUAAAAUAGGUCCCACAUAAAGGGGCGACCAUCAUGUGCUGCGUGGGCGGGACCUAAGGUCUACGCACUCCACGACAGAAAGACCCCCAGUCUGCAGAACCGACACCCAGAUAUUGUUCCUGUGAUAUAAUUCACAAAGCCAGCAUGUCACACCGCGGUCACUUGCCCUUCCUCCUGUGUCACCGGUCUGGUGACUCCCCUGAUUCCUGAUUGUUUCCACCUGUGUCUCCCAUCCUCAUGUGUAUAUAGGCUUUGUCUUCCCUUGUCGUUGUUGCCAGAGUAUUUUGUUCGUCACGGUCCAUGUACCUCCAGCUCCUGACCCAGCCUUGUUAUUGCCACGACCUGAACCAAGAAUCAGAGUUGAGUUCUCGCUUCUCGUUUUUUUCCACGUAAGCAUGAUUAUCGUUUCUUGUGUUUUGUUAAGUUUUUGAUCACUUGUUUUGACGAGAGGACAGGGAGUCCGAAAUAAAGUUUGUUUGGACGGUU
This is a long non-coding RNA of Gadus macrocephalus (Pacific cod), 4607 nucleotides long. RefSeq lists it as uncharacterized. Lineage: Eukaryota; Metazoa; Chordata; Actinopteri; Gadiformes; Gadidae. The transcript has 2 exons. The record is from RefSeq and is a predicted model, not a curated record.